RNAcentral lists this microRNA precursor (88 nucleotides) under Glycine max (soybean). RNAcentral's name for it is "miR5667 stem-loop (gma-MIR5667)". Lineage: Eukaryota; Viridiplantae; Streptophyta; Magnoliopsida; Fabales; Fabaceae. The record is from miRBase by way of RNAcentral.
GUUGGAACAGAGGAAUCCAUUCAGAUCUGUUUCGCAACACCAUAUUGGGUUCGACUGAAACAGAUCUAAAUGGAUUCCUUAGUUCUGA